UCAUCACUAAUGAUUAGUGACUACUUCUUUUAGUUGCUAAACUAUAUUAAUACGUUAGAAUUAUCAUAAAGUUUGAAAAAGUAAAAAAUAUAGCAAAAAAUGAGCAAAACAUAAACAAAAUAUUAUCAACAAAAAUAAUUAUAUAUUCAAAUUUUUAACAAUGAACAAAAAAACAUUAUGAUUAUUGAUUAUCAAUUACAUUAAAAAUUACACGAACACACACGGUGGGAGGGAUUCACUGUUCAAAAAAUUUUCACUGCAUCUACAAGAAAUCAACGGUCAAUAACUCGACAAUUAACCUGAUGUUUGCGACACCGAAAAAGUUCGUCUUUAUGGAUAUUUUCAGGACUUCGACAACGCAUACUAUCGUAAUUUGGAAGAGUGAAAAGGAGUUUUGGACUCCGAUCAAGUUCUAUACACCGCCCCGCGCUCACCACCAUUAGUUGAAGAACUGGCCAGUAAUGGUUAGGUUUUCGAAAGAGUUUUCGCACGCUCAAUGAUUAAGUUGGACAGAAUCGGCGUGAAAACGGGCCGCAACAGCAAUAUCUGCCAUCUUUGUGACGCCUUUAAUUAGUUGUAACUUGUGCUGGGCGUUGAAAGCCCAUUCUAUAAUACUAUAAUGUUAUUAAGACAUGCAGUAAUGAAAAUCUUCAUUUAAAAAAAAAGAACCUAAACUCUUCACUUCUCGUGGCCCAUGGGUUCGUUUUCGUUGAAAGAUUUUGAAUCACGUAUGACGUGAAUGGAGUGGUCGAGAGGUCCCGGUUUUUUUUUUUAUUAGAUCGUGUAAGUUUUUUUUUUUUGUUUAUGUUGCAAUUUUGAGGGUAGUGUUUUAUUGCUUAGUCUAAUAUCACAAACGAAGUCGUUUUAAUAGUUUAGAAAGUAUAUAAACAAAUCGAUAUCAUCUGAAACAGUCCCAAUAGAAAAUUAACUUUCUUUGUAGAAUAAUCAAGAUGUUUACGAACUUACUAAUUGCAAACAUUCGCGAUUAACUUACAUCGUUAGGAUUUGCAUCAAAUGAAGUAAAGUUACCCCAAGAUUAAUAUCAUUAUCAUUAUUA
RNAcentral lists this small RNA (1057 nucleotides) under Arabidopsis thaliana (thale cress). Its description in RNAcentral is "ATSL237550". Lineage: Eukaryota; Viridiplantae; Streptophyta; Magnoliopsida; Brassicales; Brassicaceae. The record is from RNAcentral.